Molecule: ribosomal RNA, 465 nt
Filed under: uncultured bacterium
Lineage: Bacteria
Description: partial 16S ribosomal RNA
Rfam family: Bacterial small subunit ribosomal RNA
Source: RNAcentral
GACGAACGCUGGCGGCGUGCUUAACACAUGCAAGUCGAACGGAAAGGCCCUGCUUGCAGGGUACUCGAGUGGCGAACGGGUGAGUAACACGUGGGUGAUCUGCCCUGCACUUCGGGAUAAGCUUGGGAAACUGGGUCUAAUACCGGAUAGGAACCAUCUUUAGUGUGGUGGUUGGAAAGUUUUUUCGGUGUAGGAUGAGCUCGCGGCCUAUCAGCUUGUUGGUGGGGUAAUGGCCUACCAAGGCGGCGACGGGUAGCCGGCCUGAGAGGGUGUACGGCCAAAUUGGGACCGAGAUACGGCCCAGACUCCUACGGGAGGCAGCAGUGGGGAAUAUUGCACAAUGGGCGCAAGCCUGAUGCAGCGACGCCGCGUGGGGGAUGAAGGCCUUCGGGUUGUAAACUCCUUUCGCUAGGGACGAAGCUUUUUGUGACGGUACCUAGAUAAGAAGCACCGGCUAACUACGUG